Molecule: ribosomal RNA, 583 nt
Filed under: Pichia cactophila
Lineage: Eukaryota; Fungi; Ascomycota; Pichiomycetes; Pichiales; Pichiaceae
Description: eukaryotic LSU rRNA
Rfam family: Eukaryotic large subunit ribosomal RNA
Source: RNAcentral
GAAAAGAAACCAACAGGGAUUGCCUCAGUAGCGGCGAGUGAAGCGGCAAGAGCUCAGAUUUGAAAUCGCAGCACCAUGCUGCGAGUUGUAGAUUGCAGGUGGGAGAGUCUGCGUAGGCCGGUGUCGAAGUCCCUUGGAACAGGGCGCCACUGAGGGUGAGAGCCCCGUGCGAUGCCACGCUCUACGUUUUGUACUCCCCUCUGACGAGUCGAGUUGUUUGGGAAUGCAGCUCUAAGUGGGUGGUAAAUUCCAUCUAAGGCUAAAUACUGGCGAGAGACCGAUAGCGAACAAGUACUGUGAAGGAAAGAUGAAAAGCACUUUGAAAAGAGAGUGAAACAGCACGUGAAAUUGUUGAAAGGGAAGGGUAUUGGGCCCGACAUGGGAAUCGCGCACCGCUGCUCCUUGUGGGCGGCGCUCUGGGCUUUUCCUGGGCCAGCAUCGGUUCUUGCUGCAGGAGAAGGGGCUGUGGAAUGUGGCUGCCGCGCUUUGCCGGGGCAGUGUUAUAGCCACUGGGCCAGAUGCUGCGUGUGGGGACCGAGGACUGCGGCCGCAAGGUCUCGGAUGCUGGCACAACGGCGCAAUA